RNAcentral lists this transfer RNA (89 nucleotides) under Nitrososphaerota archaeon. RNAcentral's name for it is "Thaumarchaeota archaeon tRNA-Arg". It matches the Rfam family "tRNA". From Rfam's summary of the family: Transfer RNA (tRNA) molecules are approximately 80 nucleotides in length. Lineage: Archaea; Thermoproteati; Nitrososphaerota. The record is from RNAcentral.
GGGUUCGUAGUCUAGUUUGGAUCAAGGCACUGAUGAAUAGUGUAGGCCUCCGGAGCCGGAUAUCGUGGGUUCAAGUCCCACCGAACCCG